This 493-nucleotide ribosomal RNA is filed under the name uncultured bacterium. RNAcentral's name for it is "partial 16S ribosomal RNA". It matches the Rfam family "Bacterial small subunit ribosomal RNA", at positions 30 to 523 of the family's 1533-position model. The record is from RNAcentral.
AUUGAACGCUGGCGGCAUGCUUUACACAUGCAAGUCGAACGGUAACAGGUUAAGCUGACGAGUGGCGAACGGGUGAGUAAUGCAUCGGAACGUGCCCAGUCGUGGGGGAUAACGCAGCGAAAGCUGUGCUAAUACCGCAUACGAUCUCUGGAUGAAAGCGGGGGACCGAAAGGCCCCGCGCGAUUGGAGCGGCCGAUGUCAGAUUAGGUAGUUGGUGGGGUAAAGGCCCACCAAGCCAACGAUCUGUAGCUGGUCUGAGAGGACGACCAGCCAAGCUGGGACUGAGACACGGCCCAGACUCCUACGGGAGGCAGCAGUGGGGAAUUUUGGACAAUGGGGGUAACCCUGAUCCAGCAAUGCCGCGUGCAGGAAGAAGGCCUUCGGGUUGUAAACUGCUUUUGUACGGAACGAAAAGCUCUGGGCUAAUGCCUUGGGGUCAUGACGGUACCGUAAGAAUAAGCACCGGCUAACUACGUGCCAGCCGCCGCCGUAA